This 492-nucleotide ribosomal RNA is filed under the name uncultured bacterium. Its description in RNAcentral is "partial 16S ribosomal RNA". It matches the Rfam family "Bacterial small subunit ribosomal RNA", at positions 29 to 507 of the family's 1533-position model. The record is from RNAcentral.
AGUGAACGCUGGCGGUAGGCCUAACACAUGCAAGUCGAACGGCAGCACAGUAAGAGCUUGCUCUUACGGGUGGCGAGUGGCGGACGGGUGAGGAAUACAUCGGAAUCUACUUUUUCGUGGGGGAUAACGUAGGGAAACUUACGCUAAUACCGCAUACGGCCUACGGGUGAAAGCAGGGGAUCUUCGGACCUUGCGCGAUUGAAUGAGCCGAUGUCGGAUUAGCUAGUUGGCGGGGUAAAGGCCCACCAAGGCGACGAUCCGUAGCUGGUCUGAGAGGAUGAUCAGCCACACUGGAACUGAGACACGGUCCAGACUCCUACGGGAGGCAGCAGUGGGGAAUAUUGGACAAUGGGCGCAAGCCUGAUCCAGCCAUACCGCGUGGGUGAAGAAGGCCUUCGGGUUGUAAAGCCCUUUUGUUGGGAAAGAAAGGCAGCAGGUUAAUACCCCGCUGUUCUGACGGUACCCAAAGAAUAAGCACCGGCUAACUUCGUG